UAUUUUCUUACUCUUAAGAAAAAUUGACUUUUCAAAGGAAUAUUAAAAAAACUUUUUGUUUAAAGAAAUAAGGUUCUUUCUAGUUCUUUGUUCUCUUUCACAAUUACAGCCAUGUAAUCCAUAAGGAAUCCAUUAAUGUGUAAGAGGCUUUGAAGCUGCUAGAUGUGUGUGUGUGUGUGUGCGUGCACGCGCACGCUCGCACAUGCACUGUUUUUAUUCUUUUUCACUCAGAAUCUUGCUGCUGCCAACCACUGAUUUAGGAAUGUUUAGGGGUAUAUGCCAACUCAAUAAUCAAAAUCAUUUUGGUACUGGGAACCCAACCACAGUCUCUGUAGACCAGUGGAAUUUAUUGCUUGCUCCAGUUUAUUAAAUAAUAGUACCAGCAACAUUUUGAAUAAAGAAGAGUCUGAUAAGAUGUGAUAGACUGUCAGGAUAAUUCAUUUUGAUCAUAAAGCAAUGCUUAUUUUGAAUUUGAAAUACUGAAAGCAUGACUAGCCCAAUGGUCCACAACUUCCUUCUCUUGACCUGGCAUAGGAGUGCGAUUCCUAGCUCAGUUCAGGGACGAGGUGGACAGACUGCUGGUUUUCUGUGAUAUCUUCAUCCCUGUUUUCACUCCACAAAUACAGCUCUAGAACCAACUGAGGGCCAAGCACUGGCCAAGGCUUUGGGACCACAGUGGUGAGCAGGCUAAAUACAACUCCUGCCACAUAGCACUUUCCAAGGGAAGCUGUCCUGUCUACGUAGGUCACAGAUUAUCGAGACAUUUGAGGUACAAGCAAAACAGAGUAAUGGUGAAGUUUGUGUUUGGACUCAAAACACUCCAAGCUGUUUUAUCUUGAAUGAAUUAUAUGGCCUCCCGAAGCUUCAGGUUCAAAAUUGCAAUAGUAUUUGUUUCAGAGAGUUAUUUUGAGGGUGAAGUGAAAAAAAAAAUCCUUGAACAGCUUUUACCAUAGUACCUGGUUAAUAGCCAUGAGUAGUAGUAGUAGUAGUAGAUGAGCCACAUUGCCCCUUGGCAAAGAAGGCUGUUUUCCCAUCUUUUUUUUUUUUUUUUCUUCUUCUUCUUCUUUCUUUUUUGGCUGCCCUGUGGCAUACAGAGUUCCCUGGCCAGGGAUCAGAUCCGAAGUGUAGUUGCAGCAACGCUGGAUCGUUAAUUCACUGUGCUGGGCCGGGGAUGGAACCUGCAACCCAGUGCUUCCAAGACACUGCCGAUCCUGUUGCACACAGCGGAACACCUGUUCCCCCCAUCCUUGACAUGGAAAACAAAGAUGCCUCGGAUGGGAUGUCUGCCCCUCAACAUCUUAGAUUCUCCUGAUGAAGAUAUACACAACAGAUCUCUGAUGAAAUUCAUCAUGCAAAUUACCAAGAGGCAAGUGAGCAUCUUGGGGAGAGUCUGGGGCAAUGUCUUGGGGGCUGAGUAGAAGUGGGUGUUAGCACUACUAUAUAUGAAAUAGAUAGGUGACAAGGACCAACGUAUAGAUAGCACAGUGUAAUCUACUCAAUACUGUGUACUAACCUAUAUGGGAAAAGAAUCUGAAAAGGAACAUAUAUAUGUGUGUAUAUAUAUAUGCAUAUGUGUGUGUGUAUAUAUGUAUAUGUGUGUGUAUGUGUGUAUGUGUGUAUAUAUAUAUGUACAUGUGUGUGUGUAUAUAUAUAUAUACACGUAUAACUGAUUUACUUUGCUGUACACCUGAAACUAACACAACUUUGUGAGUCAGUGAUACUCCAAUAAAAUUAAAAGGAAAAAAAUAAGAAGUGGGUAUUAGAAGGACAGUCUGAGAAGAGAAAACAGCACACACAAAGGCUCAGAAGUAUGAAACAGGAUGGUGUGUGCUGGGAGCCAUUCAAGU
This 1847-nucleotide long non-coding RNA is filed under the name Sus scrofa (pig). RNAcentral's name for it is "lncRNA (ENSSSCG00065006163.1)". Lineage: Eukaryota; Metazoa; Chordata; Mammalia; Artiodactyla; Suidae. The record is from RNAcentral.